Molecule: long non-coding RNA, 531 nt
Organism: Cercocebus atys (sooty mangabey)
Lineage: Eukaryota; Metazoa; Chordata; Mammalia; Primates; Cercopithecidae
Exons: 2
Source: RefSeq, a predicted model, not a curated record
UCUACAUGGACGGGAAGGGAAAAACGCUCAUCUCCAGAAACCUCCCACCUCUGGCACCCAUAAGUCUGAAGUUGCAUUUACGGUACCUUGAUUGAGUCCUGGGCAGACGACAGCCCCCGACACCAUGGCCUGGCUGCUCCCUCCUCAGGGGAGGAAGGAGAGAUCCAGUAUGCAUCCCUCAGCUUCCAUAAGGUGGGGCCUCAGGACCUGUGGGGACAAGAGGCCACCAACAAUGAGUAUUCGGAGAUCAAGAUCCCCAAGUGAGAAACUGCAGAGACUUGGGCUUGUUUGAGGGUUCGCAACCCCUCCAGUAAAGGAGUCCGAGGCCGAUUCCUGUAGAAUUAACAGCCCUCGAAGCUGUGCAACAGGAAAUCAGAGCUUAUUCCUCCUGUCUAACUGAAAAUGCAUGCCUGCCUUUCCCCAUCUAAUCAGUCCACACUCCCCGCCCCAGCCUCUGGUACCCAUGAUUCUCCUCUCUACUUCUCUGAGGAUGUCUAUUUUAGAUUCCAAAUAUAAUGAGAUCGUAAUGUG